CUCCUACCACUUGUGGCACAUUGGGCUAUGCACGUGGAAAAGCUGAAAUUCUUAAAAGGAAACCAGGAGGCUUCUAGGACCCAGAAGCUGAGAUGCUUUCCAAGCUUCAGGCUGCCUCUUACCCUUCACUGCAGUAGAUCUGUGCAUCAGCUACAGUGGACAAGAAGCAACAGAGAGGUACCCAGUAUGCUAGAAACCUGCACAAGGGAAGAAGAUACCAUUUGUUUGGGGAAAAGUGUGAAGAAACACAGUGAGGAUCUGUACAGUUAAGAAGGAAGGAACUCUUCUUCAGAACCACAACAGAUCUCGUUAUCUUUUUAUAUCACUAUGCUGUUAUAUGAAGUACCGGGAAGAUAAGACGAAAACAAUCAUGCUUAGUAUGGUCCACCAGGGAAUAAUGGCUUAUAGAACUGAAUGACAUUAGAAAGACUUGUUGGUCUGUUCAAGAGUCCUUUUUAAAACUAACAAAGAAGACAGCAAGAAUGUCACUCCAGGGUCCAGGACUGCUCCUUCUGUGCUACCACUGUUGAUUCUCUGUGAUUACUCAGUAGGAACCUAGAAUAGGAUGGGUGAUGGACUUAU
Molecule: long non-coding RNA, 582 nt
Filed under: Pogona vitticeps (central bearded dragon)
Lineage: Eukaryota; Metazoa; Chordata; Lepidosauria; Squamata; Agamidae
Description: lncRNA (ENSPVIG00000000211.1)
Source: RNAcentral